Molecule: ribosomal RNA, 484 nt
Filed under: uncultured bacterium
Lineage: Bacteria
Description: partial 16S ribosomal RNA
Rfam family: Bacterial small subunit ribosomal RNA
Source: RNAcentral
AUUGAACGCUGGCGGCAGGCCUAACACAUGCAAGUCGAGCGGAUGAAGGGAGCUUGCUCCUGGAUUCAGCGGCGGACGGGUGAGUAAUGCCUAGGAAUCUGCCUGGUAGUGGGGGAUAACGUCCGGAAACGGGCGCUAAUACCGCAUACGUCCUGAGGGAGAAAGUGGGGGAUCUUCGGACCUCACGCUAUCAGAUGAGCCUAGGUCGGAUUAGCUAGUUGGUGGGGUAAAGGCCUACCAAGGCGACGAUCCGUAACUGGUCUGAGAGGAUGAUCAGUCACACUGGAACUUAGACACGGUCCCGACUCCUACGGGAGGCAGCAGUGGGGAAUAUUGGACAAUGGGCGAAAGCCUGAUCCAGCCAUGCCGCGUGUGUGAAGAAGGUCUUCGGAUUGUAAAGCACUUUAAGUUGGGAGGAAGGGCAGUAAGUUAAUACCUUGCUGUUUUGACGUUACCAACAGAAUAAGCACCGGCUAACUUCGUG